This 72-nucleotide transfer RNA is filed under the name Hymenobacter aranciens. RNAcentral describes it as "tRNA-Gly". It matches the Rfam family "tRNA". Rfam says of the family: Transfer RNA (tRNA) molecules are approximately 80 nucleotides in length. Their secondary structure includes four short double-helical elements and three loops (D, anti-codon, and T loops). The record is from RNAcentral. Lineage: Bacteria; Pseudomonadati; Bacteroidota; Cytophagia; Cytophagales; Hymenobacteraceae.
UAAACUGUAGCUCAAUGGAAGAGCGCCACCUUGCCAAGGUGGAGGUUGCCAGUUCGAGCCUGGCCAGUUUAC